RNAcentral lists this long non-coding RNA (401 nucleotides) under Crocodylus porosus (Australian saltwater crocodile). Its description in RNAcentral is "lncRNA (ENSCPRG00005007615.1)". The record is from RNAcentral. Lineage: Eukaryota; Metazoa; Chordata; Crocodylia; Crocodylidae.
GGGAAAUAUCCUUGGAUAGGUAGGAAUCCAUUCCUAUUAGAGUCAGCUAGGGCUUAUCUACAGGAGGUAGUUAGUGUAAGCAAGCUAAAGUAUUAAAUUGUAGCAUACUAAGAGCACCUUUCUGAAACAGCUUUGAAAACUACUUCACAGUUACUGUGAACCAGGAACAACUAAGCAAUACCAGCUAGAACAUGAUCUGUCUCUGCGUGAAGACAUUGGACCUCUGACCUUUUUUGUAGCUAUUCCAGGCAUAUGAAUUCAGCCACGUGGUUUCCACCAACUGACCACCUCAAAAUACAGUGCAGGACACUUCCUCAGAUUCCUACUGAUAUUCAGAUUUAUAACCUCUUUCCUGUUGUAUUUGAAGCCAGCACACACUGCUCUGCCAUUGUACAGGUAUG